Molecule: ribosomal RNA, 1371 nt
Filed under: Triticum aestivum (bread wheat)
Lineage: Eukaryota; Viridiplantae; Streptophyta; Magnoliopsida; Poales; Poaceae
Description: partial small subunit ribosomal RNA
Source: RNAcentral
AUGCCGGGCAGCAUCCGAGUCUCAGCGUCGCUGCUGCGUCUCGUCAAAAAGAAAAAGAGAUCACACUGCUCUAUCUUUUGCUGUGCAGACAUUCAGCCACCGGUCGCCGCUCCACUCUUCUUGCAAGUUAACCUCGGGAAAAAAGAGUACAGCGGAUAUAUAGGACAAGAUGGCUUCUCUUUUCCAGUUACAUCACUUCGUGAUAGCAUGGUGUUGUCGCUGUACGAUGCAGACAAGGAAUUGGUAUCCAAAACAGAAUUGAAGACAAGGUCGAUUGUCGAGCAGGGGAGUACGGAUGUUGUGUUUAGCCUUGAUAGUGGAGGGCAAAUUGUUCUCCAAUUGCAGUUCUUGCUCAGUGAUGAAGAUCGCAAACGCAUCCAAGAAAUGAGGAACUCUGCGAUGAAAAGAAAGCAGCAAGAGCUGUUUGGGAAUGGCGACGAACUUUCUUUCCAAGACAACACACCACCUAAAGAGCAGGCAGAAGAGAUCUCCGACAUCACAAGCACAGAAGACCGACUCACGCUCCGGAAGAGCAUGUCGAUGGAUGAUCUGAAAGGGAAGGCUGUCUUUUCCGAAAUAAGCAUAGAUACGAAUAUGGCGUCUCCAAAGAACCCGCCGUUGCAAACUUCGACGUCCGAAGGCCCCAUUGACAUAAAGGGUCUACCGCCGAAAAGUGACAUUGGCUCUAAGAGAGGGCAGGGUGAACUGGAGAGCAGGUCGAGCAGCGCGGUGAAGAAGAUGAUCAGCGCCUUCGAGAGCAGCUCUCUGCAGGGACCGCCUUCGGUGCCAAUGAUCAAGUUGGAAGGGUCGUUGGAAGGGAUGCUAUCGGCUUCCACCAAUCCUCCAGACAAGUCAUCUGGCAAAGUGACCGUUACUUCUGGUGAUAUAGGUUCUGAGUCGCGGUUAGGAAGGCACAUCAUCAACAAGAAACCAAGCGCGUCUAGACAGGGCGAUUUGUUGAAUGCUCAGGAGAGCAGAAGACGGGGUUCCAGCAGGCGCGACAGAGCAGCCAAGACGAGCAUGGGAGAGAAUGCAGAAAAGCAAAAUCACCAUCGUCGCUCCAUCGCUCCAAUGCGUUCGGGGGUGACAUCUAGCAUCGCCUGGACUGGCCACCCCCACAUCUGCAUCACCACCGGGAGCAGGCAGCUGAAAGACCUCGUCGGGCUUAAGCACCUGAAUUCGAUGAAGAACAUAGAGCAGAGCGCAAGGGAAGAAGACACCAAACAAGGCACAAGCAACGACGACGCGGUGGGCUCCAAGCGGCGGCGAUUUUACGGGUUCCCUGCACUAAAUGGGUGGCUGAUCAACCAGGGGGUGCGCGGCGUGAUCGUCAUCAUAGCCUGCGGCGCGGUGUUCCUCAACAACAGGUGA